RNAcentral lists this transfer RNA (71 nucleotides) under Colletotrichum orbiculare MAFF 240422. RNAcentral describes it as "tRNA-Gly (GCC) (tRNA-Gly-GCC-5-1)". It matches the Rfam family "tRNA". Rfam says of the family: Transfer RNA (tRNA) molecules are approximately 80 nucleotides in length. Their secondary structure includes four short double-helical elements and three loops (D, anti-codon, and T loops). The record is from RNAcentral. Lineage: Eukaryota; Fungi; Ascomycota; Sordariomycetes; Glomerellales; Glomerellaceae.
GCGCCAAUGGUUUAGUGGUAAAAUUCUCCGUUGCCAUCGGGGAGCCGGGGGUUCGAUUCCCCCUCGGCGCA